RNAcentral lists this ribosomal RNA (1112 nucleotides) under uncultured Nitrospira sp. Its description in RNAcentral is "bacterial SSU rRNA". It matches the Rfam family "Bacterial small subunit ribosomal RNA", at positions 61 to 1187 of the family's 1533-position model. Lineage: Bacteria; Pseudomonadati; Nitrospirota; Nitrospiria; Nitrospirales; Nitrospiraceae. The record is from RNAcentral.
GUCGAACGAGAAGCCGUAGCAAUACGGUUGUAAAGUGGCAAACGGGUGAGUAAUGCGUGGGUAAUCUACCCUCGGGUGGGGAAUAACUCCUCGAAAGGGGAGCUAAUGCCGACAUGUGCAUCACUCUCGCAAGGGAGUGCUGGAAAGCCGUACCGUGGGUGCGGCGCCCAAGGAUGAGCUCGCGUCCUAUCAGCUUGUUGGCGGGGUAACGGCCCACCAAGGCUGCGACGGGUAGCUGGUCUGAGAGGACGACCAGCCACACUGGCACUGCGACACGGGCCAGACUCCUACGGGAGGCAGCAGUGAGGAAUAUUGCGCAAUGGACGAAAGUCUGACGCAGCGACGCCGCGUGGGGGAUGAAGGCCUUCGGGUUGUAAACCCCUUUCAGGAGGGAAGAUGGGACGGGUAACCGUUCGGACGGUACCUCCAGAAGCAGCCACGGCUAACUCUGUGCCAGCAGCCGCGGUAAGACAGAGGUGGCAAGCGUUGUUCGGAUUUACUGGGCGUAAAGAGUGCGUAGGUGGUGAGGUAAGAUCUGUGGGAAAGACCUGGGCUUAACCCAGGAAGGUCGCAGAUGACUGCCUCGCUUGAGGACGGGAGAGGAGAGCGGAAUUCCCGGUGUAGCGGUGAAAUGCGUAGAGAUCGGGAGGAAGGCCGGUGGCGAAGGCGGCUCUCUGGAACGUUCCUGACACUGAGGCACGAAAGCGUGGGGAGCAAACAGGAUUAGAUACCCUGGUAGUCCACGCCCUAAACGAUGGAUACUAAGUGUCGGCGGGUUACCGCCGGUGCCGCACCUAACGGAGUAAGUAUCCCGCCUGGGGAGUACGGCCGCAAGGUUGAAACUCAAAGGAAUUGACGGGGGCCCGCACAAGCGGUGGUGCAUGUGGUUUAAUUCGACGCAACGCGAAGAACCUUACCCAGGCUUGACAUGCUGGUUUUAAGAACCGGAAACGGCAAUGAACCCGCAAGGGUAGCCAGCACAGUGCUGCAUGGCUGUCGCCAGCUCGUGCGUGGAGGUGUUGGGUAGUCCCGCACGGGCGCAACCCCUGCUCAGUGCACGGUCAUGCGGGACUCUGAGAGUGCCCAGAUAACGGGAGAGGGGGAUGACGUCA